RNAcentral lists this transfer RNA (74 nucleotides) under Eubacteriales bacterium. RNAcentral's name for it is "tRNA-Gln". It matches the Rfam family "tRNA". From Rfam's summary of the family: Transfer RNA (tRNA) molecules are approximately 80 nucleotides in length. Lineage: Bacteria; Bacillati; Bacillota; Clostridia; Eubacteriales. The record is from RNAcentral.
UGCCGAUUGGUGUAAAGGUAGCACGCCUGACUCUGACUCAGUCUGUGAGGGUUCGAAUCCUUCAUCGGCAGCCA